CCGGCCACACUGGGACUGAGACACGGCCCAGACUCCUACGGGAGGCAGCAGUGGGGAAUAUUGCACAAUGGGCGAAAGCCUGAUGCAGCAACGCCGCGUGAGGGAUGACGGCCUUCGGGUUGUAAACCUCUUUCAGCAGGGACGAAGCGCAAGUGACGGUACCUGCAGAAGAAGCACCGGCCAACUACGUGCCAGCAGCCGCGGUAAUACGUAGGGUGCGAGCGUUGUCCGGAAUUAUUGGGCGUAAAGGGCUCGUAGGCGGUUUGUCGCGUCGGGAGUGAAAACUCAGGGCUUAACCCUGAGCCUGCUUUCGAUACGGGCAGACUAGAGGUAGGCAGGGGAGAACGGAAUUCCUGGUGUAGCGGUGAAAUGCGCAGAUAUCAGGAGGAACACCGGUGGCGAAGGCGGUUCUCUGGGCAUUACCUGACGCUGAGGAGCGAAAGUGUGGGGAGCGAACAGGAUUAGAUACCCUGGUAGUCCACACCGUAAACGUUGGGCGCUAGGUGUGGGACUCAUUCCACGAGUUCCGUGCCGAACUAACGCAUUAAGCGCCCCGCCUGGGGAGUACGGCCGCAAGGCUAAAACUCAAAGGAAUUGAACGGGGGCCCGCACAAGCGGCGGAACAUGCGGAUUAAUUCGAUGCAACGCGAAGAACCUUACCUGGGUUUGACAUAUGCCGGAA
RNAcentral lists this ribosomal RNA (682 nucleotides) under uncultured actinomycete. Its description in RNAcentral is "bacterial SSU rRNA". It matches the Rfam family "Bacterial small subunit ribosomal RNA", at positions 304 to 996 of the family's 1533-position model. The record is from RNAcentral. Lineage: Bacteria; Bacillati; Actinomycetota; Actinomycetes; Actinomycetales.